Molecule: long non-coding RNA, 671 nt
Filed under: Mus caroli (Ryukyu mouse)
Lineage: Eukaryota; Metazoa; Chordata; Mammalia; Rodentia; Muridae
Description: predicted gene 13257 (MGP_CAROLIEiJ_G0003571.1)
Source: RNAcentral
UUUUCUAGCUGCUCAGACUGUUGGCUGGAGGGAAGACCUUGUUGAGCGCAGAGGCAGAAGGCAUCUUCCAUUCUUGACAGGGGAGACAAUUUAGCACUUGUGAGAAGCCCUAGCAGGCUCCAUCCUCUCCCCCAUAUCUCCCUCCUGCAGCCUCCCACCCAACCCCCUAUCCCAACAGCUUUAAGAGCCGUCAGCUGCGGAUCCCCACCAGAAGACAGACUGGCUGCAUAGGCAGGUGAAGGCGCAUGGUCCCUUGGGAGUCUGGAACCAUAAAGGAUACUGCUGAGUAGACAAACCCACAUCCAUUGGACAGAUGGGGCCACUGAGCCCAACAGAAGGAAGAAACAAUGAACUUUACAGGAGGCCUCUGCCACCUCUCCACUCCACAGCUAACAGCUCCCUGUUCUGGGAUGACCAGCACAGGAGGACUGUGUCCUGCAAUUGGCUCCCACAGACUCACUCCCCUCACAUGACUGGGGGGCCGAGAUCAUAGAAGCCGAGGCUUAUUGCUACUUUUGAAUCUUAUCCCCUCCUCCUUUUCAGAUUUUAAAUAUAUGUGUCAUGGGCAGGAGGGAGAAUCGAAAUCGAAUCGCCCCAUUCAUCGCCUCAGUAUUUUUUUCUUGUCAUUCUCGUAAUAAUAAUACAGCAAAUUCUGUAGCCUUCUGUUCUCC